GACGAACGCUGGCGGCGUGCUUAACACAUGCAAGUCGAACGGUGAAGCGCCUUCCUUUUUGGUGGGUGUGGAUGAGUGGCGAACGGGUGAGUAACACGUGAGUAACCUGCCCCCUUCUUCUGGAUAACCGCAUGAAAGUGUGGCUAGUACGGGAUAUUCUGGGUCUGUCGCAUGAUGGGUCUGGGAAAGAUAUUGUUUCGGUGGGGGAUGGGCUCGCGGCCUAUCAGCUUGUUGGUGGGGUGAUGGCCUACCAAGGCGGUGACGGGUAGCCGGCCUGAGAGGGUGGACGGUCACACUGGGACUGAGACACGGCCCAGACUCCUACGGGAGGCAGCAGUGGGGAAUAUUGCACAAUGGGCGCAAGCCUGAUGCAGCGACGCCGCGUGAGGGAUGGAGGCCUUCGGGUUGUGAACCUCUUUCGCCAGUGAAGCAGGCCUGCCUCGUUUGUGGGUGGGUUGACAGUAGCUGGAUAAGAAGCGCCGGCUAACUACGUG
This 494-nucleotide ribosomal RNA is filed under the name uncultured bacterium. RNAcentral's name for it is "partial 16S ribosomal RNA". It matches the Rfam family "Bacterial small subunit ribosomal RNA", at positions 28 to 507 of the family's 1533-position model. The record is from RNAcentral.